RNAcentral lists this ribosomal RNA (430 nucleotides) under uncultured bacterium. RNAcentral's name for it is "bacterial SSU rRNA". It matches the Rfam family "Bacterial small subunit ribosomal RNA", at positions 355 to 775 of the family's 1533-position model. The record is from RNAcentral.
UGCGGAAUUUUAGAUAAUGGAGGGAACUCUGAUCUAGCGACGCCGCGUGCAGGAAGAAGGUCUUCGGAUUGUAAACUGCUGUGGUAAGGGAAAAAUGCUAUGUAGAGUGGAAAGCUACAUAGAGGGAUGGUACCUUACUAGAAAGCCCCGGCUAACUACGUGCCAGCAGCCGCGGUAAUACGUAGGGGGCGAGCGUUACCCGGAAUCACUGGGCGUAAAGGGAGCGUAGGUGGCCUAACAUGUCAACUGUGAAAACCCGGAGCUCAACUCCGGAACUGGAGGUGAAACUGGUAGGCUUGAGGACGGUAGAGGAAGACGGAACUGCCAGUGUAGGGGUAAAAUCCUUAGAUAUUGGCAGGAACGCCGGUGACGAAGGUGGUUUUCUGGGCCGGUUCUGACACUGAUGCUCGAAAGCCAGGGGAGCGAACGG